AACGAACGCUGGCGGCGCGCCUAAUACAUGCAAGUCGAGCGAGAAGGUGUAGCAAUACACUUGUAAAGCGGCGAACGGGUGAGGAAUGCAUGGGUAACCUACCCUCGAGUGGGGAAUAACUAGCCAAAAAGGUUAGCUAAUACCGCAUACGUUUCCGGAACUUCGGUUUCGGAAAGAAAGCAAUACCGUGGGUAUUGCGCUCCUGGAUGGGCUCAUGUCCUAUCAGCUUGUUGGUGAGGUAACGGCUCACCAAGGCUUCGACGGGUAGCUGGUCUGAGAGGACGAUCAGCCACACUGGCACUGCGACACGGGCCAGACUCCUACGGGAGGCAGCAGUAAGGAAUAUUGCGCAAAUGGACGAAAAGUCUGACGCAGCGACGCCGCGUGGGGGAUGAAGGUCUUCGGAUUGUAAACCCCUUUCGGAGGGGAAG
RNAcentral lists this ribosomal RNA (431 nucleotides) under uncultured bacterium. Its description in RNAcentral is "bacterial SSU rRNA". It matches the Rfam family "Bacterial small subunit ribosomal RNA", at positions 29 to 447 of the family's 1533-position model. The record is from RNAcentral.